RNAcentral lists this ribosomal RNA (774 nucleotides) under uncultured Neocallimastigales. Its description in RNAcentral is "partial large subunit ribosomal RNA". It matches the Rfam family "Eukaryotic large subunit ribosomal RNA", at positions 24 to 634 of the family's 3401-position model. Lineage: Eukaryota; Fungi; Neocallimastigomycota; Neocallimastigomycetes; Neocallimastigales. The record is from RNAcentral.
UAUCUCUGUAGAGUCUGCAUAUCAAUAAGCGGAGGAAAAGAAACUAACUAGGAUUCCCUUAGUAACGGCGAGUGAAACGGGAAGAGCUCAAAUUUGAAAUCUUCAAGGUUUUACCUUGACGAAUUGUAGUUUAAAGAAGUGUUUUCUGUUGGUGUUUUGGUAAAAGUUCUUUGGAAUAGGACAUCAUAGAGGGUGAGAAUCCCGUAUUUGACCAUUAUUUUCAGCUUUGUGAUACACUUUCAAAGAGUCGGAUUGUUUGGGAAUGCAGUCCAAAAUGGGUGGUAAAUUUCAUCUAAAGCUAAAUAUUGGCGAGAGACCGAUAGCGAACAAGUACCGUGAGGGAAAGAUGAAAAGAACUUUGAAAAGAGAGUUAAACAGUACGUGAAAUUGUCAAAAGGGAAGCGUUUGACACCAGUGUUGUUUUCUCGAAAAUCAAUUAAAAAAAGUUGGAUUUUGUAUUGUUAAGACCUUAUCAGCUUACUGUACUCUUUUCUUGCUUUUUUUAAUGCACUUUUCGUUUAACAAGUCAACAUCAAUUUCUUUUGUUGUAAAAGAGUCAUUGGAAGGUGGCUUUCACUUCGGUGAAAGUGUUUAUAGCCUUUGGCCUCUGCAAUCGGAGAGAUUGAGGUCUGCAGCGUAGAUCCUUCGGGGCUAGAUACGUAGAUGCUAAGUUAUAGUUUUUUAUAGACAACUUGUUGACUAUAAUUAAUCAUGUAGCUUACUCGUUUGCGCUAUUUUACCUACGCUUAGGAUGUUGAUCUGUAGUGCGUGCGC